Molecule: long non-coding RNA, 391 nt
Organism: Oreochromis niloticus (Nile tilapia)
Lineage: Eukaryota; Metazoa; Chordata; Actinopteri; Cichliformes; Cichlidae
Exons: 3
Source: RefSeq, a predicted model, not a curated record
CUGGACUGAAGGAUCCAGGCUGGAGACUGGACACUCUCAGUUUCCCAGCAUGCCUUGGCUGUGCUCAUGGAAGUGAAUGAGGGGGAAAGAUCUGUCCUGCUGCCCUGUCAGUGCUCGGAUUUCAUACCUGGUGAUCUCAGAGGACAAAAGCAGCGUUACAGCGGCGCACAUCGAUGAGAGCUGAUGCUCUCAACACUUCAGACCUCCGCCUGUCUCUGAGAAAACCAACAAUGGCUGUCAGCAGCAACUACACCUGCUCCACCAGUGCUGGGAGAGAAGAGCUGAGACUGACAGCUCUUUGUACAGGCCUUCACCUCCUCAUUCAUCCACAGUCUGCCUCCCUCUGCUCCAUCAGCUGACGUCCUCUGUACAACUACCUGCUGUGUGCACG